This 611-nucleotide ribosomal RNA is filed under the name bacterium S1 GW-2007. RNAcentral describes it as "bacterial SSU rRNA". It matches the Rfam family "Bacterial small subunit ribosomal RNA", at positions 340 to 945 of the family's 1533-position model. The record is from RNAcentral.
UACGGGAGGCCACAGUGGGGAAUUUUGGACAAUGGGGGAAACCCUGAUCCAGCAAUGCCGCGUGUGUGAAGAAGGCCUUCGGGUUGUAAAGCACUUUUGUUCGGGAAGAAAACGUCUUAGCUAAUAUCUAGGGCGGAUGACGGUACCGGAAGAAUAAGCACCGGCUAACUACGUGCCAGCAGCCGCGGUAAUACGUAGGGUGCGAGCGUUAAUCGGAAUUACUGGGCGUAAAGCGUGCGCAGGCGGUUUGUUAAGACGGAUGUGAAAUCCCCGGGCUCAACCUGGGAACUGCAUUCGUGACUGGCAAGCUAGAGUAUGGCAGAGGGGGGUAGAAUUCCACGUGUAGCAGUGAAAUGCGUAGAGAUGUGGAGGAAUACCGAUGGCGAAGGCAGCCCCCUGGGCCAAUACUGACGCUCAUGCACGAAAGCGUGGGGAGCAAACAGGAUUAGAUACCCUGGUAGUCCACGCCCUAAACGAUGUCAACUAGUUGUUGGGGAUUCAUUUCCUUAGUAACGUAGCUAACGCGUGAAGUUGACCGCCUGGGGAGUACGGUCGCAAGAUUAAAACUCAAAGGAAUUGACGGCGGGCGGGGGCGGCGGGACGGGCGCGGG